CCGAUAACUCUGGAAUAGCCUUUCGAAAGAAAGAUUAAUACCGGAUGGCAUACGAAUAUCGCAUGAUAUUUUUAUUAAAGAAUUUCGGUUAUCGAUGGGGAUGCGUUCCAUUAGUUUGUUGGCGGGGUAACGGCCCACCAAGACAACGAUGGAUAGGGGUUCUGAGAGGAAGGUCCCCCACAUUGGAACUGAGACACGGUCCAAACUCCUACGGGAGGCAGCAGUGAGGAAUAUUGGUCAAUGGGCGAGAGCCUGAACCAGCCAAGUAGCGUGAAGGAUGAAGGCUCUAUGGGUCGUAAACUUCUUUUAUAUGGGAAUAAAGUUUUCCACGUGUGGAAUUUUGUAUGUACCAUAUGAAUAAGGAUCGGCUAACUCCGUGCCAGCAGCCGCGGUAAUACGGAGGAUCCGAGCGUUAUCCGGAUUUAUUGGGUUUAAAGGGAGCGUAGGUGGAUUGUUAAGUCAGUUGUGAAAGUUUGCGGCUCAACCGUAAAAUUGCAGUUGAAACUGGCAGUCUUGAGUACAGUAGAGGUGGGCGGAAUUCGUGGUGUAGCGGUGAAAUGCUUAGAUAUCACGAAGAACUCCGAUUGCGAAGGCAGCUCACUAGACUGUUACUGACACUGAUGCUCGAAAGUGUGGGUAUCAAACAGGAUUAGAUACCCUGGUAGUCCACACAGUAAACGAUGAAUACUCGCUGUUUGCGAUAUACAGUAAGCGGCC
RNAcentral lists this ribosomal RNA (717 nucleotides) under uncultured bacterium. RNAcentral describes it as "bacterial SSU rRNA". It matches the Rfam family "Bacterial small subunit ribosomal RNA", at positions 129 to 848 of the family's 1533-position model. The record is from RNAcentral.